This 294-nucleotide signal recognition particle RNA is filed under the name Propithecus coquereli (Coquerel's sifaka). RNAcentral describes it as "Metazoan signal recognition particle RNA (ENSPCOG00000011121.1)". It matches the Rfam family "Metazoan signal recognition particle RNA". From Rfam's summary of the family: The signal recognition particle (SRP) is a universally conserved ribonucleoprotein. It is involved in the co-translational targeting of proteins to membranes. The record is from RNAcentral. Lineage: Eukaryota; Metazoa; Chordata; Mammalia; Primates; Indriidae.
GCCAGGCACAGUGGUAUGCACUCUGUAGGCUGAGGAGGGAGGAUCACUUGAGCCCGGGAGUUCUGGGCUGUAGUAUUCUAUGCUGAUUAGGUGUCUGCACUAAGUUUGGUGUCAAUAUGGUAACCUCCCGGGAGCUGGGGACCACCAGGUUGCCUAAGGAGGGGUGAACCUGCCCAGGUCGGAAAUGGAGUAAGUCAAAACUGCUGUGCUGAUUAGUAGUGGUAUCAUGGUAUCACAUCUGUGAAUAGCCGCUGUACUCCAUCCAGCCUGGCAACAUAGCGAGACCCCAUCUCA